Small nuclear RNA from Budorcas taxicolor (takin), 106 nucleotides. The record is from RefSeq and is a predicted model, not a curated record. NCBI's taxonomy places the organism in Eukaryota, Metazoa, Chordata, Mammalia, Artiodactyla, Bovidae.
AUGUUCAUUUCAGCAGCAUCUAUACUAAAAUUGGAACCAUACAGAGAAGAUUAUCAUGGCCCCAUGCAAGGAUGACAGGCAAAUUUGUGAAGCAUUGCAUAUUUUU